Molecule: long non-coding RNA, 283 nt
Filed under: Hordeum vulgare
Lineage: Eukaryota; Viridiplantae; Streptophyta; Magnoliopsida; Poales; Poaceae
Description: long non-coding RNA (HVUL_LNC009205)
Source: RNAcentral
UCGGCUUGCCGAUGCGUGUCGAGAUCGAGAGGAACAGCGCGGCCUUGCAGUGGCUCACUUUGCCGGUGAGCCCAAGGCCCUUCUCCGGUGUCUUUCGCCUCUUUUUGUUGUUGUUGUUGUUGUUGUUGUUGUUGUUGUUGUUUUAGUUGUUGUUGUUGUUGUUGUUGUUGUUCUUUGCCCUGUUCUAGGGUUCUUCGUGGGGAGGGGAUUCGUUUUCUUUGUGAUUUUCUCUAUGAUUCUUUUCUACCAAAAACCAUCUAGAUCCUAGAGGCUCUGAUUACCA